UCUCUCUCUCUCUUAACCUGCUCCUUCUUAUUAAAGCCAACCUCUUUUGGUGGUUGUUCAUUUCUCUUUCCCUGGUCACUUUCAGGCUUUUGAUUAAUUAAUCCAUUCAUUCAUCAUCCACGAUGGUACACAUGAGUCCAGAAAUGAAAUCCCGUGUCAGCAGUGUGCUGUGGGUAGCUAAGACAAUUUUCCACGUAGGAUUUAUUCCUUCUGUGCUUUACUUAGGUUUCAAGAAAGGUGCCGAUGAAGGAAUGCCAGAAUUAACAAUGAUGAGUUUAUUGUGGCAGUGAGAUGAAAUAAAAACACCACAAAUCAUGGUUAGCCGAGAUGAAGGAUUGUACAUAUUUGUGAAGAGAAGAUCUUUACCUCCUGUUCCAGAAACUUGUUAAACAUGGCAAAAUGGUUUUCAAAAUAAAUCUUUAACUUCCAA
Molecule: long non-coding RNA, 430 nt
Organism: Octopus sinensis (East Asian common octopus)
Lineage: Eukaryota; Metazoa; Mollusca; Cephalopoda; Octopoda; Octopodidae
Exons: 3
Source: RefSeq, a predicted model, not a curated record